Molecule: long non-coding RNA, 667 nt
Organism: Drosophila gunungcola (fruit fly)
Lineage: Eukaryota; Metazoa; Arthropoda; Insecta; Diptera; Drosophilidae
Exons: 2
Source: RefSeq, a predicted model, not a curated record
UUCAGGUUAAACGCGGAUUUGUGCCGACAGGAUCUGGAGUUGCGCCAUCCACAGGAAGCCGUCCAGUGACGAUGGAGCAGUACCGGCCAGCGGAGUCGGUGGAGUUAAGCAGCAGCCAGUUUCCAGUCCACGGAGGAGCAAACAUCUUUGGAGUUCCUGGCACGCUGCAACUACCAGCCGGGGGGCAAACUUGGAGCAGCAUUACUGUUGGUGUGUGUACAUCUAGGAUUGACCUCCGUUGGAACCUGUAAAUUUGAAAAAGAUUAGAGGUACAGUUUCAGCCUGUUCAGGCCAGCUUGAAGCUGCUGCUCUGGAGUUGGCGUGCGGACCUCGGAUGGUAGUAGCGGGCUCAUAAUAGGCCUCUGGAUAUACUCCAGCUGAAACCUGAUGAUAUGGGCCAUGUCUACACGGCUAAUCGUGCCACUCCUGACUGACCGUGACAUGUUGUUGACCCAGUCCAUCGACGGCCUUUCCUGGGGUACGCCGGUCGCUAACGCUAGUUCCUGUUUUUGCCUAGCCUGGCUUUCACGAUGUUCUAUACGCAGCUGUGCUUGCUGCAAAUUACGCUGUUCCUGUUCUUGUUGUUUAAGGCGAAUUAGAGUUGGAAUUUGCUGCUGGAGUGUUACCGGCUGCUGUAGAAGUAAACGCCGCAAAGGCUCAAAAUGUU